UACGUAGGGUGCGAGCGUUAAUCGGAAUUACUGGGCGUAAAGCGUGCGCAGGCGGUUCGCCAAGUCAGGUGUGAAAUCCCCGGGCUUAACCUGGGAAUUGCGCUUGAAACUAGCGGGCUUGAGUGCGGCAGAGGGGGGUGGAAUUCCACGUGUAGCAGUGAAAUGCGUAGAGAUGUGGAGGAACACCGAUGGCGAAGGCAGCCCCCUGGGUCGACACUGACGCUCAUGCACGAAAGCGUGGGGAGCAAACAGGAUUAGAAACCCCCGUAGUCC
RNAcentral lists this ribosomal RNA (273 nucleotides) under uncultured bacterium. Its description in RNAcentral is "partial 16S ribosomal RNA". It matches the Rfam family "Bacterial small subunit ribosomal RNA", at positions 524 to 796 of the family's 1533-position model. The record is from RNAcentral.